Molecule: ribosomal RNA, 251 nt
Filed under: uncultured bacterium
Lineage: Bacteria
Description: partial 16S ribosomal RNA
Rfam family: Bacterial small subunit ribosomal RNA
Source: RNAcentral
UACGGAGGGGCUAGCGUUGUUCGGAAUUACUGGGCGUAAAGCGCACGUAGGCGGCUUUGUAAGUUAGAGGUGAAAGCCCGGGGCUCAACUCCGGAAUUGCCUUUAAGACUGCAUCGCUAGAAUUGUGGAGAGGUAAGUGGAAUUCCGAGUGUAGAGGUGAAAUUCGAUAGAUAUUCGGAAGAACACCAGUGGCGAAGGCGACUUACUGGACACAUAUUGACGCUGAGGUGCGAAAGCGUGGGAGCAACAGG